GGCUAACGCUGGCGGCGUGUCUUAGCCAUGCAAGUCGAGCGGACUUAUGGGGUAACUUAUAAGUCAGCGGCGGACGGCGGGGUAACACGUAGCUAACCUACCCUCUGGACGGGGAUAACCUACCGAAAGGUGGGCUAAUACCCGAUGUAGUCAUCCUGUAUAGGGGUGAUGAAAGGUGGGCUUCUGUUUACAAGCUCAUGCUGGAGGAGGGGGCUGCGGCCUAUCAGGUAGUUGGUAGGGUAAUAGCCUACCAAGCCGAUGACGGGUAGCCGGCCUGAGAGGGUGACCGGCCCGAGGGGCACUGAGAUACGGGUCCCACUCCUACGGGAGGCAGCAGGCUAGAAAUUUGGGCAAUGGGGGAAACCCUGACCCAGUGACGCCGCGUGCAGGAAGGAGCCCUUCGGGGUGUAAACUGCUGUCGUGUAGGGAGAAGGGUACUAAGGUGAACAAUCUUAGUACUUGACGGUACUACAGGAGGAAGCCCAGGCUAACCUCGUG
Molecule: ribosomal RNA, 498 nt
Filed under: uncultured bacterium
Lineage: Bacteria
Description: bacterial SSU rRNA
Rfam family: Bacterial small subunit ribosomal RNA
Source: RNAcentral